AUGGCGGGUGUCUCAGGCACUGUUCAGUGGUGGGAGGAGUCGCAACUACGCAUCCUCGUCAUUGCUAGCCUGGUGAUUCAGUACAUCCUCCUCGUCGGUUCCGUCGCGCGUAGGUACCCCAUCAGAUCCUGGUUUAGACCCAUCAUCUGGCUGGCAUACAUUGGCAGUGAUGCCAUUGCCAUCUAUGGGCUCGCCACCCUCUUCAACCGCCAUAGGAAGCCACAAAACGAUGGAGAUGAAGGAACUAUGGGCUCGGCACAUAGCAUGCUGGAGCUGUUGUGGGCGCCUAUCCUCCUGAUACACCUCGGUGGACAGGACGGCAUAACCGCCUACAACAUCGAGGACAACGAGCUAUGGACGCGGCACAUCCUCACCUCAGUGUCUCAGGUCACCGUGGCUGUCUACGUCUUCUGGAAAUCAUGGCCAAGCAACGACUGGAUGCUGCUGAACGCGGCAGUGUAUCUCUUCGCCAUUGGUAUCCUCAAAUGCUUUGACCAGCCAUGGGCUCUCAAUAGAGCUAGCAUUAACAGCCUGGUGAGCUCCGGUGACCCUAUUCGGAGGUCAAUACACACACAUAAGCUCAAGAUUGACCCUCUUGAAGAUUUCAUUGACAAGGCAACAAGUCCUAUCGGGGCAAAUGAGUAUCUUUUAACAUCGGCCACACCGGUGGACUUUACUCCUUAUGAGCUAUUUGUGGACCUUGCAUCUCCGUCUGUUGAAGAUCGGAUUAGGGUGCUACUCUCCUUCUCAACACUUGAUGGCAACCAUGCGUAUUGUAAGCUGCAACAUUGGCUCUCCAACACCUUCCUACUCCUCUACACCAAAGGAAAGGUGUUUUCCAUGGCUUCUCUCGGACAAGUUUUUCCCUUAUUCGCUUCCCGAAAUUACUUCGAACAUAGGGCGCAACUAGCAGGAAUAUUUGUUUAUUCUCUCCGUUUAUUAGUUUUAUACAUUCCAGCCAUAGCCUGCUUCCACUACAGUAACCGAGAAGUUUAUAGUCAAGACGAUGUCAAGAUUACAUAUACCUUGCUAUACUGUACUGCUGCAUUGGAGGUUCUAGGCCCGGUCCUAACGAACAUGACAAGGGACACAGAAGAAUUCUGUCAAAGGUCAACAGAUAUGGUGUCAACAUAUGAGGGGCCUAUAUAUCAUGAUAUGGUUUCCCAAUACAACAUUGUAGGACUCCUUGUCCGCAACAGGAACCAUUCCAAGAUGAUGAGGGUCGUCGGAGUUUUGGGAUGCGCCGACUUCCUUCAGCAACAUUGGCACAUGAAGUCUUGCUCCUCAUCCUUCAGCAUUACAAAGUUAGUGCUCCAGUAUGUGAAAGAUGGCUGGAAGCACCAUAUCAAAGAUGUUUCUAGUUACAGGAAGUUCAAUGACAACAGGGGCCAGUUUACUCUUGGGCAUGAAGGGUGUUACGAGGACUUGGGAUGGAGCUUGGACGGUGCAUUCGACGAGAGUGUGCUUCUUUGGCAUCUCGCCACGGAUUUCUGCUACUACGACACGGUUGUAUCUCGUUCUCACCACGUACUGCUGUGCACGCAAGAUUCAUGUCCUCAUGCUUAUGCAUGCCCUGCUUGGUGCAAAAGAUCCGGUCAUCACAAGAGGGCCAUCCAGUGCAGAGAAAUGUCCAACUACAUGAUGUAUCUACUGUUUUUGAAUCCUGAAAUGCUAAUGGCAGGCACCAGAAGAAACCUUUGCACGACCGCCUACGAUGAAUUGAAGGACAUUGUCGAGGAAAGAGAGAAAAUAGAUGGCACCAGCGUCGAAGGAGACGAGGAAAUAGGGCUUACACAGAUGAUAUAUGCUACAGUUGAUGGUUGUACCCAGCAGCAACAGGGAGGAAUUGUCCGUGACGCUUGGAGUAUUGCCAAAGUGUUGUCCAAUCUGCCUGAAGAGAAGAUGUGGGAUGUGAUAGAAGGUGUGUGGGUGGAGAUGUUGUGCUUCUCUGCCGCUAGAUGCAGAGGAUACCUGCACGCCAAGGGUCUGGCCACAGGCGUGGAGUACCUCACCUAUGUCUGGCUCCUAUUGUACUACAUGGGGAUGGAGACUUUGGCAGCCAAACUGCAGAGGGCGGAUCAUCAUUAUCACCACAACGGAGGAGAGCAUGGGGAUCGCCCUUCAAGUUCUCAUGUCAGCAGUGCCCAAGAGGAAGCAGCUGGUCCAUCAAGAUCAGAUGGUGGCGCCGAAGGUCAAUCUGCCGGUUACCAUGACAGUGAUGACAUAGUGGAAGAAAUGGUUUGA
This 2244-nucleotide ribosomal RNA is filed under the name Triticum aestivum (bread wheat). RNAcentral's name for it is "partial small subunit ribosomal RNA". The record is from RNAcentral. Lineage: Eukaryota; Viridiplantae; Streptophyta; Magnoliopsida; Poales; Poaceae.